Daphnia pulex (common water flea) is the source of this 645-nucleotide long non-coding RNA. RefSeq lists it as uncharacterized. The record is from RefSeq and is a predicted model, not a curated record. The transcript has 4 exons. Lineage: Eukaryota; Metazoa; Arthropoda; Branchiopoda; Diplostraca; Daphniidae.
UUUAAUUUGGAGACGCUGAUCGUAAAUGCAAGUAAAUUUCUCUACGCCUCUACGGUGUACUUUUUUCCUGACAUUUUUGUAAAAAAAAUGAUAAGUUAGCAGUGGAACAUCUUCAAAAAAGUCGAGUGUCCUUCAAACAAUAUGGAAGAAAAAAAAGUGGUUCGAAAUGGAAGAUUUAUUCAUUCACCGAAGAAACGAGUCAAUUUACUUAAAUACCCAUCCCCGGCAACGUCAACCUACAGAAGCAGAAGGAAGAGGCCAGUUUGCAUGUCCUUCACUUUCGAAGGUCACUGAGAUCAUUACGUAAAACUGUCAAUGUUGUGGUGUAGAGGUUGGCUACGUCAACCUGCGGGAGGAAAGGCCAGUUUGUAUGUCAUUCAACCGAAGGUCACGGAGAUCAUUACAUAGAAUUGGUAAAACUUUCUUGCAGUGGUGUAGAGGUUGGGUGAGAACGACACGUGUUGCAACAUUAUCAAGUAGGUCUACAAUUGCCGCAAGCCUUGAGUUGAGAGGUAAGGGUGAGAAAAAGUCGUAUAAAAGGAGAGAGAAAAGGCCACAGUGAUCAGUCGAGUGAACGUCUACGACACGGCAACAACUGCAGCGCACCAGAUGACUUCUUCAUCUCAUUAUCAGUUCGCAAUCAUG